This 352-nucleotide ribosomal RNA is filed under the name uncultured bacterium. RNAcentral's name for it is "bacterial SSU rRNA". It matches the Rfam family "Bacterial small subunit ribosomal RNA", at positions 917 to 1267 of the family's 1533-position model. The record is from RNAcentral.
GGACCCGCACAAGUAGUGGAGCAUGUGGUUUAAUUCGAAGAUACGCGCAGAACCUUACCAACACUUGACAUGUUCGUCGCGACCUUAAGAGAUUAAGGUUUUCGGUUCGGCCGGACGAAACACAGGUGCUGCAUGGCUGUCGUCAGCUCGUGUCGUGAGAUGUUGGUUAAGUCCCGCAACGAGCGCAACCCUCACUUUUAGUUGCCAUCAUUAAGUUGGGCACUCUGAAAGAACUGCCAGUGAUAAGCUGGAGGAAGGUGGGGAUGACGUCAAGUCCUCAUGGCCCUUACGUGUUGGGCUACACACGUGCUACAAUGGUAUCUACAACAGGAAGCAAGACGGCGACGUUAAG